RNAcentral lists this ribosomal RNA (253 nucleotides) under uncultured bacterium. Its description in RNAcentral is "partial 16S ribosomal RNA". It matches the Rfam family "Bacterial small subunit ribosomal RNA", at positions 524 to 776 of the family's 1533-position model. The record is from RNAcentral.
UACGUAGGGUGCGAGCGUUAAUCGGAAUUACUGGGCGUAAAGCGUGCGCAGGCGGUGAUGUAAGACCGAUGUGAAAUCCCCGGGCUUAACCUGGGAACUGCAUUGGUGACUGCAUCGCUCGAGUAUGGCAGAGGGGGGUAGAAUUCCACGUGUAGCAGUGAAAUGCGUAGAGAUGUGGAGGAACACCGAUGGCGAAGGCAGCCCCCUGGGUCAAGACUGACGCUCAUGCACGAAAGCGUGGGGAGCAAACAGG